UCUCGAACUCCUGACCUCAGGUGAUCUGCCCAACUCGGCCUCCCAAAGUGCUGGGAUGACAGGCGUGAGCCACCGUGCCUGACCCACAGAGGGCAUUUCUGUGAUGACAGUGCAUGCCAGGCUACAAUGCGUUGUGGAGUCAAUGUGACAUGAAGGGAGAAAAAACAGGGGACACUUACGAGAGGCUUGACUAAAAGAGAAGACAUGAGGGGUCAUAGAGACUUCAGGUGGAAGGAAGGUUUCAUUUUGUUUUUUAGUACGGGAAAUACUUGAAUGAGUAUGUAUGGCUAAGGAGAGGUGGAGCUUAAAGAUUCAGAAAAGUCUCAGGACGAAAGAGAGGACCUUAGAGCAAGGUCCCGGAGGACACAGGAAGAAAUGGGAUCCCGAUGACAUACCCCUCUUCCUGAAACAUUCUUAGCUCACAUCAGCGGAAACAGACUCUGAGACUCUGAGGUUUUCAUGAAGGAGGAUUACUGGGGGGAGAUCUGAGGAACCAGCCCUGACAGGGAGACCUCAUGGAAAACGAGGGUGGCUGAGGCAUGGAGGUUUGUAGAGCGUCGCAGGCAAUGGAGGAAAUUCUUUCCUGAUGGACUCCUUUUUCUUUUCAAAAUGAGAAAUUGUUGAAAAAAAGUGCUCGAGAUCUCCAGAAGAGUGGAAAAGGCCUGGAAUGACCUUAGAUGACAGUAGGAAUCACAAGCUGGGAUUAGUUUGUACCCUGGAGGGUGCAACAAAGAUCAGAUGCCAUAAAUCUGUGGUGUUACCAUCUUUUAGGCUGAGUGAUUUUUCCCUAGUCGGGCUCUGCAUCCCAGAAAUACAAGCAGAAGAGGAGGCUGAGGGUGAGGUUAACCUAAGGCACAUUUCUGGGCUUCUGGCCUACUCUCUACUCCUGCUGGGCGCCUGUCUCCAGCUGGGACGAAGGGAAGAGCCUGCAGGUCAUGCCUCUACUUGAAGCUUCCUUCUCUCUCUCAGGGUUGCUAUUUAUUAUGUCUUGGCCAGUGCACCAAUCCAAAAGUUGAAAAAAAGCAGAGUACACAUCAAACCAUUCCCAGAAUCAAACUCUAGGAUGAUUUAAAGAUCAGUGAGUCAGAUACAUGUGGAUUAAAUUUUCCUCUAACUACAUACUUGGUUAGAAAAUCCUAGCCUGGGACUUGGAAGUGAUGGGUCCUGUUUGGGACACCCAAGUUGCUAUAAAGAGGUACAACGUGUGUUCAGUUCCAGUCCCUGGAUCAUCAGGCAAGGUCUGAAAACCUCUGUUUGAGACGGCAUAAAUUCCCAGGACUGCAGACCACUGGACCAAACUUCUAGGAGGCAAGACUUGUGGACCCUGGUGAGAACCCAAGCCAAACCUUUCAUGGGGCCAGCCUUGGGAGAAACUGGCCCUGCUUGGCUGGCUUCUGCUACCGUCACUCAUCCUUUCUAAGUGAGGGCAGCCUUGAGGCCACAAAACAAAGGCCAAAAUGGCUUCAAGGACAGUAAGCUCAAGGUUUCAAAAGAUUGUGACUUCCGUUCUGCUGGCUGACCCUCUCUCCAGCCUUCUCAGCUUGCAUAUCUCCAUGAAGCAAGCUGCCAUGUUGGCAAGACCUACGUGGCAAGGAUUUGAGAGCAUCCUCUGGCCAGCAGCAAGCUAGGAACCGAGGCCCUCAGUCCAACAACCAUCAAGGGACUGAAUUCUGCCAACAAACAUGUGAACUUGGAUGUGGAUCCUUCCCCAGCCCCGACCUCUGCCAUCCCCCAACACAUAGACACACACAGUGUUAUUUCCAGGGAAGAGGAGGAUAGUCCUGGUCAAUAGCAGUGGACACACUGGAGGUUUCCCCUCAAGGUAAGAGUGUCAUUCAUUUGCACAUUCUCAAGGAGGUGAAACAGGAUGCAGAGGGCUUCUCAAGGUAGGGUUACCCCAGAGCAUUUGAGCAUUUUCCUAAAGGAAGAUGAAGGGAGUAGUAGCCACCAGUGGCUGAGUUCUCCCCUCUACAUCCCACUGGAUAUCACCAAUCCCUAAUUCUCCACUCCAAAGCCCUAGCUCUGCCUUGAUAGAGUGGGGAUGUGCCUGGGCCAUUAGUAGCCAUUGUCCACUCUUUUAUUGCUUGGGCUUUUUAGGGGGACCUUUAUGCGAAGAUGCUCCCAACCUCAUCACAUCUGGGACCUUUUUGCGAAGAUGCUCCCAACCUCAUCACAUCUGGGACCUUUUUGCGAAGAUGCUCCCAACCUCAUCACAUCUGGCCAAAGUGCUUUUAGUCACAAGCGGCAGAACUCAGUUCACAGGAACACAUAUGAAAAGUGGAUGUAGAGAUAACUAUGAGGGAUAUGAGACUUUAAUUAAGCAAAGUACCCGGCCUCGUCAUUCUCUCUCCUCCUGGGCUGUGGUCUCUUGGCUCAGCCUUUCUCUCUUCGUGACUUUGGUUUGCCUAUGGUUUUAUAACAUGGCCCUAACAAGUAAGUCCUCCUUGAUCAUGACAUUUACUUGAGCUCCCUAUGACCAAACAGAGUCUGCUUUUUAAUUUCAAACUCUUAAGAGAGAAAAACCGGAUGGCUGUUUAUUGCCAACACGUUGGCUGGCCUUGGGUACUUAUUCCUGGUCUAGUUAGCCGCGGCUGAGGAGCAGAGCAUGUGGUAUGAAACACAUAUAAGGUAGCAGGGGCUGAAAGUGGGAAACAACUUCUCUGAGAAGCAACCCAAGCUGGUAUUCCACCCAAGGUGUGCCUGAUGCACCCCCUGUGUGGUUCUGGGAUUCACCCGAGGGACAGGUAAUAGCCGUCCUCAGUGACUGUCUCGGCAGAGGCUGGGCUUGGAGCUCAAAGGCCAGGGAAGCAGCAGGUCCACUGAUGCAGCUGCCACCUCCACAGCAUGCUGGGGACAUGGUGACAUUCUCCUAAGAGCACUUACAGAGACAGUGUCCUGUGAAAGCAGCGCUGGACUGGGAGUUGGCAGUCCUGGCUUGUCAUCCAGCUCGGCUGCUAACCCCCAUGACCCCGGGGAACCGACCUUCUUCCUCUAGGUCUUAGAUUCUCCAGAAGUUAAAAAUGAAUUUAAAAACCAUUGUUAUUAAUAAUAAUAAACAGCAUUGAAUGAAAUCAUCUCCAGGGUUCUUUUCAAUCCCUAAGAUUUCCCUAAGCCUCCCCCAUCUCCACUUGACAACUUCCCAGAAAUGCUUUCAAAUGGAGCUCUUUAACCCAUAAUUUGGUGGGGCCUCUGCCAGCUGCCUCUCUCCCACAACACACCCAGUCCCUGUGAUAAGUCCUCCUCAGGGGCUUUCCAGCCUAGACCUGCAGCUAUUCAAGAAAGUCCAGGCAGGGCCUUCCCGGGCAACUGAUUUCUGAGCUUGUUCGACGGGGAGGAGGGGGUCUGAGCAUUUGCUGUCUGGCCACUCCAAAGAGGGAAGUCUGGGCCUGAAGACGCAUCUACUGGGGGGUUUCCACAUUGAUGAUCAGGGCCUGGGAGGCCAAGAGAAGCUCCAGAAGAAGGGUCAGCAAAAUCCCCAGAGAAACGGGGACUAUGAGUGGAACAGAGCUGGAGAGGAAGAACGGAAAACACUGUGGGUUCCCGGGACGGGGGCAGGGAGGAGGGAAAGUUUGUGUCUUUUGGCAGGAAAUGAAUAACAUUCAAAGAAUAUGCAAAAUGCCAUUCUAAUUGGCACCUGUUCCCUUUGGAGCCAGUCACUCGGCCCACGGCAUCUGAGGGUGAGUCUGGUUUGGGUCUCCCCAGGGGAGGAAUACAGCACAUUGAGAUCCACUUGAAUGAUAAGAGAGGCACUGGUCCUAAGUGGGGUAGAGGAACGGAAGGUACCCUCAGCCUCCAUGGCUCCUUCCCAGCCCCAAAUGCUCUGUCACAACCCCCCCAGCUCAACCCCAGGCAGAUGGCUACAAAUUUUGCAGGGGCCUCUGAGCAUUCCCUUGGCUAACAGCCACAUUCCAGAACAGCAUAUGUUUCAUCUCAAAUCCACAAGGUUUGCACUUCCAAGCGGAGCCAAAGAGAAAAACCUUGGCCCAGGCUGCAAAUUUCUUAGGAGAGGUGGGGGUCAGGGGCGGCCCCCAGGGAGGUUGUAGCUGUUAUGUUGAAGAACAUUUGAGUUCAAGUUCAUGCAAAGCUAGGUCCCAAAUAUAUGACACCCACAUUCCUAAUUCAUAACCCCUCAAAGUACCUACCUGGAGAAGGAGUGAGCAGCGCUGCUUCCUCUUGCUGUCACCCAAAUGGCCCUCAUGCCACCUGCAUGUUCCUCCAGCCCCAUAACAGUUCUGCACCUUUGCCUAACUUCAUGGCCCUUUUGAAUCAGUGAUUCACAGCCCAGGGCUGUGUGGAGUCUGGGUGGGGAGGGAAGAAACAGGGUGACUCCUGAUCUCACUCUACCCCUUAAAAAAUGCCUGGACCUCAUCUGUGCUGGCUCCCAUCUCCGUGCUCUGAAAUUUAUUUGGCUACUGAAAGACACCAAGCCUGAAGGAGGGUUUAGGAAGGACAGGGCUGAGCUGGGUGGAAAGGAGGAGUAAGGCAGGGGAAAUAUGAAGGCAUGAGAGCUAGAGGGGGCGGCGGGGCAGAGGUGCAGAAAGGGACACAGAAGGGUCUCAGCUGGGAAGAGGGAGAGGUAAGCUCUCUCCUGGCGGGUGGGGAAUGGGGGGACAUUGGGAGUCCUGGUCCUCUGGGGGUUCUGCUCUGUGGUAAGCUAAGGGAUUUCUGACAGCAAAGUAAACUGUGGUGUGCUGAGUUUACCCAGCUCCAAUAAGCAGUGUUGGAGUGUUUAAUGUUUCCUUCCCACUGAAUUGGUUGACAGGCACUGAACCGCAGCCAGCCCCUUGCUGUUUCUUGGGGAGGUAGUAGGUGGGGAGGUUAGUACAGGGCUGUCAGGAAAGCUGGCAUCGCUGACCCCAACCCAGGAUGCGGAGGCUUGGGUGGAAGCCGGGAAGUUCCCCUCACAUAGGCCCGAAGUUCCCAUCAAGGAGGAGAAGCCUGAAAUACAAGUCACCUCCUUAUCCCAACCAUCCCAGCCCGGCUGGUGCGCACCAGCCCUCCUGCGCUCUGCAAAAUACAGCCAUUUAUUUCUCUCGUCAUGCUCAGCUUUAUUAAAUGCCUGCCUAAGGGGCUGCAGCCUCAAACAGCCAUGCUUAUGCAGAUGGAUGCAGAGGACAGACACACAGACCACAAAAUAAAUCAGGAAGACACCAGAGCUCAGCGCCCGAGUACAAAAUAAACUAUGCCUGGCAGGAUGCCCAGCACGAGGUGCUGGCUUUGUGCUAAGCAAGGAUGAAUGGGUUGAGGGAUAGGGAAAAAUGACUUUCUUUUCUCUCAAUCCAAGGAGACUCCUGGGAAGAAACUAAAAUGCACAAAGCUCUUAGAUGGAAUGGAAGAGAAAGUUCGGACAGAAGGGAUCUCAGGGCGUGGAGUGGGCACGAGCACAGGGGAGGGGCAAGAGAAGCAGACGAUGGUGCAUCCAGACAGCGAGUACGUGUAAAGGGCAUGGAACAGCUCAGAAAAAGGACAUGGGGAAGGUUGGAGUGGGCUUUGGGCAUAGAGCUAGAAGCUGUCCAGGAACUGCAGCAGAGAGCCCUGAGCUACUACUGCAUCCUCCCCAUCCAACUAGCAGAGAAUCGGAGGUACACUGUGGACCUAUAGAGCAAGGGGAGGGGGCCAAGUGCUGGGGAAGUGGGAGGAGCCACAGUGGCACCGAGGAGCAGCCCAGGUGAAUGACCAGGGCAUGGGAUGCCCAUUAAGCAGUGAGCAUGAAGAGGGAGGGGGAAUGUGACAAGAUUAUCAAGGGGUGCACAGCAAGGUGGGGGAACUGCCUGGAUGAAGACAUCUUAAAAUACAAUAAAGAAAUAAAUAAGCCAGCAGGGGUCAUUCAUGGCUUGGGAGUGGGAGGAUGAGCGAGUUUGAGGAUACUGCUCAGAAUCAUGGUGGGGUGUGUAGGUAUGUAAAGGUAACACUGCUGCUAAGAUCUUUAUGCAAUUUCAGUCAUAUUUUCUUGGAUCUCAAGUCCUGCAUUUCUACAAAAAAUAUUUAGAAAUAGCCCCCCUUGGCCAGGUGUGG
RNAcentral lists this long non-coding RNA (6015 nucleotides) under Homo sapiens (human). Its description in RNAcentral is "HSALNT0365606". The record is from RNAcentral. Lineage: Eukaryota; Metazoa; Chordata; Mammalia; Primates; Hominidae.